This 253-nucleotide ribosomal RNA is filed under the name uncultured bacterium. RNAcentral describes it as "partial 16S ribosomal RNA". It matches the Rfam family "Bacterial small subunit ribosomal RNA", at positions 524 to 776 of the family's 1533-position model. The record is from RNAcentral.
UACGUAGGGUGCAAGCGUUGUCCGGAAUCAUUGGGCGUAAAGAGCGCGUAGGCGGCCCGGUAAGUCCGCUGUAAAAGUCACAGGCUCAACCUGUGAAUGUCAGUGGAUACUGCCGGGCUAGAGUCCGGAAGAGGCGAGUGGAAUUCCUGGUGUAGCGGUGGAAUGCGCAGAUAUCAGGAGGAACACCAACGGCGAAGGCAGCUCGCUGGGACGGUACUGACGCUGAGGCGCGAAAGCGUGGGGAGCAAACAGG